This 744-nucleotide ribosomal RNA is filed under the name uncultured bacterium. RNAcentral's name for it is "bacterial SSU rRNA". It matches the Rfam family "Bacterial small subunit ribosomal RNA", at positions 90 to 851 of the family's 1533-position model. The record is from RNAcentral.
ACUUAGUGGCGGACUGGUGAGUAACGCGUGGAUAACCUGCCUUACACUGGGGGAUAACACUUAGAAAUAGGUGCUAAUACCGCAUAAGCGCACAGAGCCGCAUGGCUCAGUGUGAAAAACUCCGGUGGUGUAAGAUGGAUCCGCGUCUGAUUAGCUAGUUGGCGGGGUAGAAGCCCACCAAGGCGACGAUCAGUAGCCGGCCUGAGAGGGUGAACGGCCACAUUGGGACUGAGACACGGCCCAAACUCCUACGGGAGGCAGCAGUGGGGAAUAUUGCACAAUGGGGGAAACCCUGAUGCAGCAACGCCGCGUGAGUGAAGAAGUCAUUCGUGAUGUAAAGCUCUAUCAGCAGGGAAGAAAAUGACGGUACCUGAGUAAGAAGCCCCGGCUAACUACGUGCCAGCAGCCGCGGUAAUACGUAGGGGGCAAGCGUUAUCCGGAUUUACUGGGUGUAAAGGGAGCGUAGACGGCCAGACAAGUCUGAAGUGAAAAUCCAGCGCUUAACGUUGGAAGUGCUUUGGAAACUGCCGGGCUAGAGUGCAGGAGGGGCAGGCGGAAUUCCUAGUGUAGCGGUGAAAUGCGUAGAUAUUAGGAGGAACACCAGUGGCGAAGGCGGCCUGCUGGACUGCAACUGACGUUGAGGCUCGAAGGCGUGGGGAGCAAACAGGAUUAGAUACCCUGGUAGUCCACGCGGUAAACGAUGAUUACUAGGUGUCGGGGGGCUAGAGCCCUUCGGUGCCGUCG